RNAcentral lists this long non-coding RNA (1216 nucleotides) under Heterocephalus glaber (naked mole-rat). RNAcentral's name for it is "lncRNA (ENSHGLG00000050866.1)". The record is from RNAcentral. Lineage: Eukaryota; Metazoa; Chordata; Mammalia; Rodentia; Bathyergidae.
CCAGAGCUCAGGCUGGGGAAGCUGGGAUUUCGGCCGGCAGCCCCCCGUGACAGGGUGGGGAGAGAAGGGAGCAUUUGGUGCCCUGUGGUACUGGGAGUCCCUGCCCUGCCUCACUCUCUCCAGGCCAGUAGUGUCCUCUGGGGCCUCUCUGCGCCCCACAGCUAGCCCAGGGUCUCUGUCGGGGCCCCUGAUCCCCCACACACUGCAUGGCUCUCCUGCCUGAACCCUCAUCACCUCAGCUUGAACCUAGGUGACUCUGCCCCUGUCUGGCCCCACAGCCUUGCUGUGUCCCCUCUGAGCCCCAGGCUCAGACGCUUCCUGGCAUCCCUUCUUUUAUUCUUUUAGUUUAUUUACUUAUUUAAUUUUUUGAAACAGGGCCUUGCUGUAUUGCCCAGGGCCACCUUGAACUCCUGAUCCUCCUGGUCCUGGCCUCUCAUGAGGCAGGGGUCCCCUCCCGCCAUGGAGAUGUUCCACACAGGCCUGAGCAGGCCAGGGGCUGCCACAGCAGGAGCCAGGUCUCCCCUCCCUGGGCGAAGCCAGGACAGGCCCGCGCCCCCCUGCAACUCCACUCCUCCAGGGCCCUGGGGAGAUUCUCACCCUGGGCCACCAGCCUCCUGUGGUUUUGAAAGUCCUGCCAGAGGACAUUCCAAUCCAAGAUUGCAUCUGACAUCUUAGUAGCUGGAAAUGGGGGGAGUAGGCCUCGCCGAUUUCAGAUAAAUAAAACGAGGACUCCCAGCCCCUCGGCCAGUCAGAGCUGCAAGUCCCCAGGAUGCAGAGAGCCUGGCCUGACUCCGGAAUACAGGUCACCCAGCCAGGGGCCAUAGGAGGCUGCCAGGGAUCAGCAAGGGGAGAGGAACACAAGCUGGAAUCCCUGAGCUGCUCCGCACACAGGCGCACCCACACCCCGGCGCACCCACACCCCGUAACUGCACCCGCACCAAGGCCAUUGCCUACCUGAGACAGACCCAGAGCACUGUGACAGCCUGGACUUGCUGCUAGAGGUGGCUCUUGGCAGCCAGAGGACUGGGGCUGGCCAGGCUCCCCAGCCUGGAGGACAGAAGCUAGCACCGACCUGCAGUGGCUGGACUGGGCAGGGCUCCGCCUCAGGAGACAACACCUGAGGCAGGAGGGAAGGACACCCGAGAGGUGUGGCUGGGGCUUCGUCCCUGUGGGAGGUGGGUUAGCUCCCGGAAUCCCUCUGGCAAUCAUCUCCCCG